Molecule: ribosomal RNA, 337 nt
Filed under: uncultured bacterium
Lineage: Bacteria
Description: bacterial SSU rRNA
Rfam family: Bacterial small subunit ribosomal RNA
Source: RNAcentral
CGAUGGAUAGGGGUUCUGAGAGGAAGGUCCCCCACAUUGGAACUGAGACACGGUCCAAACUCCUACGGGAGGCAGCAGUGAGGAAUAUUGGUCAAUGGACGAGAGUCUGAACCAGCCAAGUAGCGUGAAGGAUGACUGCCCUAUGGGUUGUAAACUUCUUUUAUACGGGAAUAAAGUGAGCCACGUGUGGCUUUUUGUAUGUACCGUAUGAAUAAGGAUCGGCUAACUCCGUGCCAGCAGCCGCGGUAAUACGGAGGAUCCGAGCGUUAUCCGGAUUUAUUGGGUUUAAAGGGAGCGUAGGCGGGUUGUUAAGUCAGUUGUGAAAGUUUGCGGCUCA